This 2884-nucleotide long non-coding RNA is filed under the name Homo sapiens (human). Its description in RNAcentral is "HSALNT0124594". The record is from RNAcentral. Lineage: Eukaryota; Metazoa; Chordata; Mammalia; Primates; Hominidae.
CAAGAGAAUUUAAAAGAACCAUCAAUCCUCUCUAAAAGGCCUAAUCAGUUACAUAAAAAAAGAAAGAAGAGAGGAGACGAGAGAAGAAAAGAGAAGACAAGAGAAGAGAAGAGAAGAGAAGAGAAGAGAAGAGAAAAGAAAGGAAAAGAAAAGAAAACAAAAGAAAGGAAAUUACCACGAAACCAGUCCUGGAAAAUGUAAAAUGUUACUUGCAUCAUCAUGUGAAAAAGCUCAAAAGAUGGAAAAAUAUUUUCUAAGUACAUUUAUUUGGACAUAACAUAAGUAUCUUCCAACAUAUUUUAGCGAUGGAAGAUGUGGUGAAUUGAAAAGAUGAGUUCAGCUCUACAUAUGCUUUAUGGUCACAAGUUGCCACUUUUAAAACAUUUAUAUACUCUUAUGCAUAUCAUAUAACUGAACAUGAAUGUUAGCAUCUAAGUAUAUGUAUCUGAUGAAAAUGCCAGAGUUAUAAAAUCUUUUUUAUGUUUUUUUAAUCACAAAAAUAUCAAAAUGCACCUUGGUUUUAGGGAAUAAUUUUCUAUCACUGGUCCUGAGAACCUCUAAAAUUAUGGAACAAUCGUUCCAGACUCUCAAUACCAUUAAGUUCAAUGAACUAUAAACUCCAGGGCAAAGAACACAGCUUUUUUGAUCAACAAUGUAUAUUUAACGUCCAAGCUUAAUGACUGAAGAAAGUAAACUCCCUAAAAACAUAAGUUUUUUUUUAAUGAAUCAAAAGAAAAGGAAAAAGAAAAAGAUAUUUAGAAAGGACCCAUAGUUUGUCAUCUGAAUGCAGCAGACAUUUAAAAUGGACUCUAUCUUUUCAAGAAUAUGAAAUCUACUGACCCCUUUCAAGGGGUUCCCCCACCUUUCAUUGCCUCCCUCAGCAGAGGGGUUGCUGGAUGCCAUUACUCAGGGAAACAGUUUUGAUUCCUUCCUGAUCGCCUAUUAUCUCUCUUGUUUUAUUGAACCAGGGUCUCUCUGCACCCUGGCAGAAGCUGGCAAUUCAUCAGGAUACCAUUUAGGGAAUCACUGUGAUGCUUAGUUUACAGUCCACAAGGCAGCUACUGGGAGAAUCUGGAUCAAUGUGUUUUAUGCCUCUGAAAUUUGGGCAGCAAAGAAAGAGUGCUUCAGUUAUAAACAUGCAAUGUCCAUAGUUCUCAUCAUCCUUCUGAACAAGCAGAAGCUCCCCUUUUCUGAACCCAAAUGGAGCAAUCCAAUUACAAAGUCAUUAAAUCCCGUUAUAAGGUGGUUCAUAGGAGUUCCUGUUUCCAGCAAAAGCCUUUUCUGUGUUCAUCCAACAUAUAUUCUGGCCUCUUGCACUCAGUUUACAAGGUUUCUAAUUAAGCUCCAGAGAGGAUGAUAUAGUUCACUGAACUGAGUCACUAUGCUACAACUGGGAAAGAAGAGGCAUUCCUAUUUUAUCAGAAAAAUAAACACUUUAGUUUCAUUUCCUCUGCCACACAUGUUAUCUCUUUGUGCUGUCACAACAUUUUUUAUAGGUUUUUAUUUCAAAGGAUUACCUUGAGAUUACUGUCAACGCAAGCCAGAGAGACAUCUCCAUACAGAAUAUAGGGGUAAUAUUUUUUCUCCUAAAACAUCCUGCUACAGACAAUAUAAUAUCAUAUAAUAUCACCGAAAUAAUCUCCCCUAUUGAGAGCAAAGAGACAGUUUUCAAUAGUACUUUGGUACAAAAUUUGAGGAAAAUAAAAUGUUUAUCAGUGACAAAAAUACAAUUUACCAGCUUGAUUUUUAAGUCAAAAAUUUAACCUUUUAAACGAUUUCAGAAGCUCCGCUAAUUUCUACUGUUCCUUGUAACAUCUGUAGGCAAAAUACAACAUGCUGGGUCAUAAUUCAUAGCUUGGCAAGAAAAUGUUGCUUAAAAACAUAAAGGUCCUUUUCUUUUUAUGCAGAGGAAAACAUUUUAGUUAUUAUUCAACUCAAGUAAAUGCUCAUAACCAUGGAAUUAAAUAUUUCUGAAGGGUUCAUUCCUGAGCUUUCUUCUGGGUUGAAUUAGGCUUUCUCAGAACUAUACUUCAUGUCACCCACAUGUCUUAAGAACUGGUGCCUUCUGCUCAGCUGUGCAUUUUUUUGCAGACAUGCCGGAUAUCUACGCAGUAAGUGCUCUGAAACUUCAAAGAGACACAGAGCAUUCUGUGCUUUCUCUUCCCACCAUUCCAUGUAAACACCAUGAAUAACCAGACCAUUCUUAUGCCAAAAGGCCCUGAUGGCUUGACUUUUUGGUCCGUUAAUUGUUCACAAUCACUCCUUGCCUGUAUUGUGCUUGGUAGGACCACCUUUCUGCAGCCAAAAUCCAGCCACUUACCACUGCAUAUACUUCCUACAGCAGAAUAGAUACUGACCAAAGCCUAGUAGAAACCUGCAUGGCAUCCUGUCUCUUAAUACUUAAUGCUACCAUGCCCUCAGAGUAUUCUUAUUCAGAAUCUAAACAAGCAUGUAUUCAGAGGCUACAAUGUAUCAGGCAUUGGUGGUGUUAGCAGUCAUAGUUCAGUGAAUGGGAAGAAAGAUAAAAAUCCAUGCCUCCCAGUGACUUUAAGUCCUGGUAGGGACAAAUACAGAAGAUAAGUAAAUAAACAAGAUAACUGUAGAUAGUAAUAGGCUCUGUAGGCAAUAAACCUCAGGAUAAUGUGAUAGAGAAUGACUUGGGGAUUGGUAAUACCCAGAUGGGGAGCUGGAACACCGUCCAGGGCAGAUGGCAUUUGAACUGAAACCUGAAGGAAAAAAGAAUCUGGACAGCCUCAACACCAGAUCAAACAGUUUUUGAAACAUAGAAAACAAGAACAAAGCCCCCAGUGGGUGAGAGGAACUGAAGAAGCCUAGUAGGAUGGAAGUAUAAUGAUACUCAUACACUGGAGAAUAUUGCUAAGCG